This 74-nucleotide transfer RNA is filed under the name Chryseobacterium scophthalmum. RNAcentral's name for it is "tRNA-Arg". It matches the Rfam family "tRNA". Rfam says of the family: Transfer RNA (tRNA) molecules are approximately 80 nucleotides in length. Their secondary structure includes four short double-helical elements and three loops (D, anti-codon, and T loops). Lineage: Bacteria; Pseudomonadati; Bacteroidota; Flavobacteriia; Flavobacteriales; Weeksellaceae. RNAcentral also lists the same sequence under 2 other names. The record is from RNAcentral.
AAUCUUGUAGCUCAAUUGGAUAGAGCAUUGGUUUACGACACCAAAGGUUGAAGGUUCGAACCCUUCUAAGAUUA